This is a transfer RNA of Camelus ferus (Wild Bactrian camel), 72 nucleotides long. It matches the Rfam family "tRNA". Rfam says of the family: Transfer RNA (tRNA) molecules are approximately 80 nucleotides in length. Their secondary structure includes four short double-helical elements and three loops (D, anti-codon, and T loops). The record is from Rfam. NCBI's taxonomy places the organism in Eukaryota, Metazoa, Chordata, Mammalia, Artiodactyla, Camelidae.
GAGGGUAUAGCUCAGUGGUAGAGCUUGUGCUUAGCAUGCACGAGGUCCUGGAUUCAAUUCUCAGUCCCUCCA